CCUACGGGUGGCAGCAGUGAGGAAUAUUGGUCAAUGGACGAGCGUCUGAACCAGCCAAGUAGCGUGAAGGAUGACUGCCCUAUGGGUUGUAAACUUCUUUUAUAUGGGAAUAAAAUGUUCCACGUGUGGGAUUUUGUAUGUACCAUAUGAAUAAGGAUCGGCUAACUCCGUGCCAGCAGCCGCGGUAAUCCGGAGGAUCCGAGCGUUAUCCGGAUUUAUUGGGUUUAAAGGGAUCGUAGGUGGAUUGUUAAGUCAGUUGGGAAAGUUUGCGGCUCAACAGUAAAAUUGUAGUUGAAACUGGAAGUCUUGAGUACAGUAGAGGUGGGCGGAAUUCGUGGUGUAGCGGUGAAAUGCUUAGAUAUCACGAAGAACUCCGAUUGCGAAGGCAGCUCACUGGACUGCAACUGACACUGAGGCUCGAAAGUGUGGGUAUCAAACAGGAUUAGAUACCCCAGUAGUC
Molecule: ribosomal RNA, 460 nt
Filed under: uncultured bacterium
Lineage: Bacteria
Description: partial 16S ribosomal RNA
Rfam family: Bacterial small subunit ribosomal RNA
Source: RNAcentral